UUUAGUGCGUGGGUAGUUGUAAAUUUUUCUUAAGAUAAUCGCUGCAAUACUACACAUCAGAUAUGAAAGAAGACACUCGUGGCAAAAGCAAAAUUCUGUGGGAAAAGUAAAGCAAGUGGAUAAAUGUUCUCAGAAGAUCAAAAUAAUUCAUCUCACUACAUGGUGGAUCAUGGUUCCAUACUCCCAAGGUGAAGUAGAAAACUGUAUGAGUCACUCCAUGGUUAGUUGAUGAAAACAAUUUCCAAUCCUCCAUGCCUAGAAAUCGUCAUCACUGGAAAGGAGCGUGACGUAGUCAAAAUCUGUGGAUCCUCAAGUCGUAGAGAAAACCUUUUGACACAUAGCUCUUCCUUUAACCAAGGCCACAUUGCUUUAGACUAAUCAAUUUUCAAAAGUGAUGAGGAGAAGUUGACACCAACCAAAAUUUCAGGCUAGGCACAUAAGUUAUAACAAAGAGUUGGGAAUUCGCCAAAAUAAAAAUUUAAAUAUUCAUAUGGUAAUGUCAUGGUAAUGGCAUGGUGAUAUGGUAAUUAUGCUAAUUAUAGCCAGUAAUAAACUAAUUAUACUGGCGAGCAAUCUUUUAUUGUGCUUGCGAUCAUGUAAUUAUUUUAUAUGAAGUGCAAACAUUGAGCCAAAUGCGUCAAUAUUUCAAAUCGCACGAAAUAAGUUGAUGAAAUUUUUUAACAAGAAACUUGAUGAAAUUUUUGCUCAGGCUUCGUCAUGUAAGCAAAACGCUGUGUGCCUGUGUCUUGGAUUUGCGUACCAAAAACUGGCGCUUUCUUAUAAAAAGUAGAUAAAAAAAUAAAUCCAUGGAAUAAAUAA
Molecule: long non-coding RNA, 819 nt
Organism: Xenia sp. Carnegie-2017
Lineage: Eukaryota; Metazoa; Cnidaria; Anthozoa; Malacalcyonacea; Xeniidae
Exons: 3
Source: RefSeq, a predicted model, not a curated record